AAGUCGAACGAUGAUAGAAGAGCUUGCUUUUCUUGAUUAGUGGCGCACGGGUGAGUAAUGCAUAGAUAAUGUGCCCCUUAGUUCGGGAUAGCCACUGGAAACGGUGAUUAAUACCGGAUACUCCUUCUUGUUAUAAGACAAGUCGGGAAAGUUUUUCGCUAAGGGAUCAGUCUAUGUUCCAUCAGCUUGUUGGUGAGGUAAUGGCUCACCAAGGCUAUGACGGAUAUCUGGUUUGAGAGGAUGAUCAGACACACUGGAACUGAGACACGGUCCAGACUCCUACGGGAGGCAGCAGUGAGGAAUAUCGCACAAUGGAGGAAACUCUGAUGCAGCAACGCCGCGUGGAGGAUGACGCAUUUCGGUGUGUAAACUCCUUUUAUUAGGGAAGAUAAUGACGGUACCUAAUGAAUAAGCACCGGCUAACUCCGUGCCAGCAGCCGCGGUAAUACGGAGGGUGCAAGCGUUACUCGGAAUCACUGGGCGUAAAGGGUGCGUAGGCUGGCUUUUAAGUCAGAUGUGAAAUCCAAUGGCUCAACCAUUGAACUGCAUUUGAAACUGAAAGCCUAGAGUUCAGAAGGGGCAGAUGGAAUUAGUGGUGUAGGGGUAAAAUCCGUAGAUAUCACUAGGAAUAUCAAAAGCGAAGGCGAUCUGCUGGGAUGAUACUGACGCU
This 670-nucleotide ribosomal RNA is filed under the name uncultured bacterium. RNAcentral describes it as "bacterial SSU rRNA". It matches the Rfam family "Bacterial small subunit ribosomal RNA", at positions 59 to 747 of the family's 1533-position model. The record is from RNAcentral.